CCGACAAAAACCCCAGAGUUGGCAGCGAGUUGCCCUAACUCUCGCGAUCCUAUCCGCCGACGACGAAAACUCCACCGCGAUCCUCCACCUCCGCGAUCCGCCUGCGAGUUAAACUCCACCACGAUCCCCACCUCUCCUCUCACGCAGAAGACGAAAACCUCGCCGCGCCCUAACUCCACCCUGGACCGGGAUUUCCGCGUGCACGCGGACACGCAGCUGCGCAGAAACGCCCCCAAAGGCAUAGGAACGCGCCCACAAGUUUCGACCUCCGACGCCCAGCCCUGCCCUCGACCAACAGCGGCCCACGCUCUAUCGCCUUUAGAACUGAUUUCAACUGUGGAUUCUAGCAAGUUUGAGUUUUCCUUUAAUUCAUUCCUAUUUAAAAGCGCUGCGAGUUCAACUUUAAAAGCACUGCGAGUUGUAAAGAAGAGAGUUGCUCCUGUUCUCAUAAUUGCAAGCCUAAGUUAUCGGAUUGCAACUGUAAAAGUGAUGCACAUACAGGUUACCCAAUGGAUUACUAUGCACAAGAUGGAGGGAAUUGGAAUAGCUCCUAUGUAAAGAAGAAGCCUCCUAGUAGUGGAAUAAAAUUGCAGAGAAGGAUAGGGAGACAGUCUGGAGUCAAAACAUGAAAUGCUUCGACCAUUAGACACUGUUUGCUAGUUCUUAGACAUGACAUGUGACAAACUACUUGUUACGAUUUAUAGUCACCAACUUGGAUUAGGAAUCAAACAGAUUAGAGAAGCUUUGAAGAUGCUGUUGGUGGUGGAAGAAUACAAAUUUUGAAGCUAAGCAUUACCAAGGCGUGAAAUUAUCUAUUCUUUUUUUUUUUCACCUAUUAAAUGGUGAAAUUUUUGUGAGGUUAAACUGUAUUCAUGUUGAUAUUUAUUUUCUUUUCCAACUACUAGCAAUCAAGGGGAUUUUGUUAGUUUCUGGAAGUCUUUAUAAUGUUCGAGAGGUCAAGAAAUA
This is a long non-coding RNA of Zingiber officinale, 966 nucleotides long. RefSeq lists it as uncharacterized. NCBI's taxonomy places the organism in Eukaryota, Viridiplantae, Streptophyta, Magnoliopsida, Zingiberales, Zingiberaceae. The record is from RefSeq and is a predicted model, not a curated record. The transcript has 2 exons.